RNAcentral lists this ribosomal RNA (962 nucleotides) under Nostoc oryzae Ind4. RNAcentral's name for it is "bacterial SSU rRNA". It matches the Rfam family "Bacterial small subunit ribosomal RNA", at positions 24 to 1024 of the family's 1533-position model. Lineage: Bacteria; Bacillati; Cyanobacteriota; Cyanophyceae; Nostocales; Nostocaceae. The record is from RNAcentral.
CCCGCAUCACGCUGGCGGUAUGCUUACACAUGCAAGUCGAACGGUCUCUUCGGAGAUAGUGGCGGACGGGUUAGUAACGCGUGAGAAUCUAGCUUCAGGUCGGGGACAACCCCUGGAAACGGUGGCUAAUACCGGAUGUGCCGAAAGGUGAAAGAUUUAUUGCCUGAAGAUGAGCUCGCGUCUGAUUAGCUAGUUGGUGUGGUAAGAGCGCACCAAGGCGACGAUCAGUAGCUGGUCUGAGAGGAUGAUCAGCCACACUGGGACUGAGACACGGCCCAGACUCCUACGGGAGGCAGCAGUGGGGAAUUUUCCGCAAUGGGCGAAAGCCUGACGGAGCAAUACCGCGUGAGGGAGGAAGGCUCUUGGGUUGUAAACCUCUUUUCUCAGGGAAUAAAAAAAUGAAGGUACCUGAGGAAUAAGCAUCGGCUAACUCCGUGCCAGCAGCCGCGGUAAUACGGAGGAUGCAAGCGUUAUCCGGAAUGAUUGGGCGUAAAGCGUCCGCAGGUGGCACUGUAAGUCUGCUGUUAAAGAGCAAGGCUCAACCUUGUAAAGGCAGUGGAAACUACAGAGCUAGAGUACGUUCGGGGCAGAGGGAAUUCCUGGUGUAGCGGUGAAAUGCGUAGAGAUCAGGAAGAACACCGGUGGCGAAAGCGCUCUGCUAGGCCGUAACUGACACUGAGGGACGAAAGCUAGGGGAGCGAAUGGGAUUAGAUACCCCAGUAGUCCUAGCCGUAAACGAUGGGAUACUAGGCGUGGCUUGUAUCGACCCGAGCCGUGCCGGAGCCAACGCGUUAAGUAUCCCGCCUGGGGAGUACGCACGGCAAGUGUGAAACUCAAAGGAAUUGACGGGGGCCCGCACAAGCCGGUGGAGUAUGUUGUUUUAUUUCGAUGCAACGCGAAGAACCUUACCAAGACUUGACUGGUCUCGAAUCUUCUUGAAAGGGAAGAGUGCUUUACGAUGG